GGGUGGACAGGUGGUGGCAUGGUUGUCGUCAGCUCGUGUCGUGAGGAUGUUGGGUUAAGUCCCGCAACGAGCGCAACCCUUGUCCUUAGUUACCAGCACGUUAUGGUGGGCACUCUAAGGAGACUGCCGGUGACAAACCGGAGGAAGGUGGGGAUGACGUCAAGUCAUCAUGGCCCUUACGGCCUGGGCUACACACGUGCUACAAUGGUCGGUACAAAGGGUUGCCAAGCCGCGAGGUGGAGCUAAUCCCAUAAAACCGAUCGUAGUCCGGAUCGCAGUCUGCAACUCGACUGCGUGAAGUCGGAAUCGCUAGUAAUCGUGAAUCAGAAUGUCACGGUGAAUACGUUCCCGGGCCUU
This 357-nucleotide ribosomal RNA is filed under the name uncultured Pseudomonas sp. Its description in RNAcentral is "bacterial SSU rRNA". It matches the Rfam family "Bacterial small subunit ribosomal RNA", at positions 1028 to 1382 of the family's 1533-position model. Lineage: Bacteria; Pseudomonadati; Pseudomonadota; Gammaproteobacteria; Pseudomonadales; Pseudomonadaceae. The record is from RNAcentral.